This 627-nucleotide ribosomal RNA is filed under the name Triticum aestivum (bread wheat). RNAcentral's name for it is "partial small subunit ribosomal RNA". The record is from RNAcentral. Lineage: Eukaryota; Viridiplantae; Streptophyta; Magnoliopsida; Poales; Poaceae.
AUGGAGGCGGCGGCGGCGGCCGUGGGCGGGGAGGACGACGGGAGGGGUCGGAAGGGAAGCUGGUACGCGGUGGGGGAGCGCGCGGUGCUGGUGCCGUACCUGCGGGAGCACGUGCCGCGGUACCACGAGUGGAUGCAAGACCCGGCGCUACUGGAGGCCACCGCGUCGGAGCCGCUCUCCCUCGCCCAGGAGUUCGAGGUCCACCGCUCCUGGACCCUCGACCCUCUCAAGCAUACUUUCAUAGUGCUGGAUAAGGAGUUGAUCGAGGGAGAGUUCGUGGUCGGGAACCCACACACCGAAGCUAUGAUUGGCGAUGUCAACAUCUAUAUGAAUGACCCUGAUGAUUUGGAACUUGCAGAGAUAGAGAUUAUGAUAGCUGAACAAAAGAGCCGUGGAAAGGGACUAGGUCAAGAAGUGACCUUAAUGAUGAUGUCGUUUGCAGUAGAGAAAUACGGAAUUCACACUUUCAGAGCAAAAAUUAGUGAUUCGAAUACUGCAUCGUUAAAGCUCUUCAGAAAAUUGGGCUUCAAGGAUGCUUCCCAUAGUGCAGUUUUUAAGGAGGUGACACUGGAGGCGCCUGCAGCUGAACUCCCAUUAAGCUCCCCUCUGACCGUAGGAAGUUGGUGA